AUACGGAGGAUCCGAGCGUUAUCCGGAUUUAUUGGGUUUAAAGGGUGCGUAGGCGGGCUGUUAAGCGUGAGGUGAAAGCUCGGGGCUCAACCCCGGAACUGCCUCGCGAACUGGCGGUCUUGAAUGCUCCUGCCGUGGGAGGAAUGUGUGGUGUAGCGGUGAAAUGCAUAGAGAUCACACAGAACACCGAUUGCGAAGGCAUCUCACGAAGGGGUGAUUGACGCUGAGGCACGAAAGCGUGGGGAUCAAACAGGAUUAGAUACCCUGGUAGUCCACGCAGUAAACGAUGAUAACUAACCGCUGGGUCGUAGUGAUUCAGUGGCCAAGCGAAAGCGAUAAGUUAUCCACCUGGGGAGUACGACCGCAAGGUUGAAACUCAAAGGAAUUGACGGGG
This 394-nucleotide ribosomal RNA is filed under the name uncultured bacterium. RNAcentral describes it as "partial 16S ribosomal RNA". It matches the Rfam family "Bacterial small subunit ribosomal RNA", at positions 523 to 918 of the family's 1533-position model. The record is from RNAcentral.